Long non-coding RNA from Xiphophorus hellerii (green swordtail), 1139 nucleotides. RefSeq lists it as uncharacterized. The record is from RefSeq and is a predicted model, not a curated record. The transcript has 3 exons. NCBI's taxonomy places the organism in Eukaryota, Metazoa, Chordata, Actinopteri, Cyprinodontiformes, Poeciliidae.
ACCGAGGAUCGGACCGCCAGGGUCCCCUCCCUCGGCCGCCACCCAUCACACACUGCACCCGACCCCUUUGGCCCAUCUCACGGGUGAUGGGCCCAUGAGAGGGGGGGCCCAUAUUUCCUCUUCGGGCUAAGCCCGGCCGGGCUCCAUGGGAAAAAGCCCAGCCACCAGACGCUCGCCGUCGUGCCCCCCCCUCCAGACCUGGCUCCAGAGUGAGGCCCCGGUGACCCGCAUCCGAGCGAGGGAACACAAAGUCCAAUGGUGCCGUUCAUCAUUGGGGUCUUCGGACUGCGCUUUGUCUGGCCCCUCACCUAGGACUUGUCUGCCUUGGGUGACCCUACCAGGGACAUGAAGCCCCAGACAGCAUAGCUCCUAGGAUCAUUGGGACACUCAAACCCCUCCACCACGAUAAGGUGGCAGCCCAAGGAGAGGUGAUUAAUUUAUAUUUCUUAUAUUGCUCUGUUUUUUAUUUCAUUUCAGUGUCUAAAAUCCUCUGAAUCUGAGGAAAACUUAGGUAUGAGAUGCUGCACUAUGUUUUAUUUAUUAAUUUUUUAAAUUAUUUUUUAUUAGAUUUUUUUUUUCCAUUUCAAGCAAGUGCAGCUCGUGAGGAUUGUCCGGUAACUGAACUGGAGCAGGAAAAGUUCUCGGGAAAGACAGUAAUCCAACAAAACCCACAACACACUCAUUUUACAAUCCUCCCAGUUGCAGUGGUGAUGUGGUCAGAUGUCGCUACAGGACGAACUGCAGAAUCAGUUACAGGACCUGAACGUACACGGAAGCCAUUUUGAACCCCUCAGCCAGUGACUCCCUAUUCCAUCUCAUGCGAGCUCCCCUUAAUCUCUGGAGGGAUCUUCCUCACUGGACUGUCAUGAAGUGGUGGUGUGAGGUGGUGAGGCAGACGCUAAGGAUCCAGGCAGAUAUGAGAAAAUUAUUAUUUUAAUAAUGAAAAACAAAUCUAAAGUCCAAAAAACCUGGCAGCACAGCUGAGUGGAAGCUAAGGCUCAACACUGGUAGAAAACAGGACAAAUGAAUGGACACAACAACGGAACGAGCAAACAUCAGACGAGGACCCGACAAAGACACAGAGACACAGGUGACAUUAAAUACACAGGAGGUAAUCAGGGAACGAGAUACACCUGGGA